GUAGUGAUCAUACUUAUCAGUAUCCUUCAUGAAGCCUUGGAACCCAGUCUAUUGUUGGUGGAGUCAGUGGUUCACUACUCUAUCAACUGUAAAUAGGCGACAUCUCUACUGUGCUUGAAUAUCCUCCAGGGUAACAUGCAGCUGUCAAUUAGUUGACUGUCCACAGAUCAAACAGAGGUGGUCCCGUCGAUUCACGCUGGAUUGAGAUAUGAUCGGCCUGUUCUUGCAAAAGAAUCAGACCUCGCGUUCCGUAGGUGAACCUGCGGAAGGAUCAUUAAAGAGAACUUGCCCUUCGGGGUAUAUCUCCCACCCUAUGUUUACAUUACCUUUGUUGCUUUGGCGGGCCCGUCUCACGACCACCGGCUUCGGCUGGUCAGUGCCCGCCAGAGGACCCCAAACUCUUUUGUUAAUGUCGUCUGAGUACUAUAUAAUAGUUAAAACUUUCAACAACGGAUCUCUUGGUUCUG
Molecule: unclassified non-coding RNA, 467 nt
Filed under: rhizosphere metagenome
Description: partial ribosomal RNA internal transcribed spacer region
Source: RNAcentral